GACGAACGCUGGCGGCGUGCUUAACACAUGCAAGUCGAACGGAAAGGCCCUGCUUUUGUGGGGUUCUCGAGUGGCGAACGGGUGAGUAACACGUGAGUAACCUGCCCUUGACUUUGGGAUAACUUCAGGAAACUGGGGCUAAUACCGGAUAGGAGCUCCUGCUGCAUGGUGGGGGUUGGAAAGUUUCGGCGGUUGGGGAUGGACUCGCGGCUUAUCAGCUUGUUGGUGGGGUAGUUGCUUACCAAGGCUUUGACGGGUAGCCGGCCUGAGAGGGUGACCGGCCACAUUGGGACUGCGAUACGGACCAGACUCCUACGGGAGGCAGCAGUGGGGAAUAUUGCGCAAUGGGCCGAAGCCUGAUGCAGCAACGCCGCGUGCGGGAUGCCGGCCUUCGGGUGGAAAACCGCUUUCGCCUGUGACGAAGCGUGAGUGACGGUAAUGGGUAAAGAAGCACCGGCUAACUACGUG
This 468-nucleotide ribosomal RNA is filed under the name uncultured bacterium. RNAcentral's name for it is "partial 16S ribosomal RNA". It matches the Rfam family "Bacterial small subunit ribosomal RNA", at positions 28 to 507 of the family's 1533-position model. The record is from RNAcentral.